GACGAACGCUGGCGGCGUGCUUAACACAUGCAAGUCGAACGCUGAAGCUUGGUGCUUGCCCUGGGUGGAUGAGUGGCGAACGGGUGAGUAAUACGUGAGUAACCUGCCCUUGACUCUGGGAUAAGCCUGGGAAACUGGGUCUAAUACUGGAUACGACAUGCCACUGCAUGGUGGUGUGUGGAAAGGGUUUUACUGGUUUUGGAUGGGCUCACGGCCUAUCAGCUUGUUGGUGGGGUAAUGGCCUACCAAGGCGACGACGGGUAGCCGGCCUGAGAGGGUGACCGGCCACACUGGGACUGAGACACGGCCCAGACUCCUACGGGAGGCAGCAGUGGGGAAUAUUGCACAAUGGGCGGAAGCCUGAUGCAGCGACGCCGCGUGAGGGAUGACGGCCUUCGGGUGGUAAACCUCUUUCAGCACGGAAGAAGCGAGAGUGACGGUACGUGCAGAAGAAGCGCCGGCUAACUACGU
Molecule: ribosomal RNA, 471 nt
Filed under: uncultured bacterium
Lineage: Bacteria
Description: partial 16S ribosomal RNA
Rfam family: Bacterial small subunit ribosomal RNA
Source: RNAcentral